Molecule: transfer RNA, 77 nt
Filed under: Clostridium beijerinckii
Lineage: Bacteria; Bacillati; Bacillota; Clostridia; Eubacteriales; Clostridiaceae
Description: tRNA-Ser
Source: RNAcentral
AUAUUUUUGAAAUUUGCGCCUGGAAAGCGUGUAUAGGGGCAACUCUAUCAGGGGUUCAAAUCCCCUUCUCUCCGCCA